This 1594-nucleotide long non-coding RNA is filed under the name Nicotiana tabacum (common tobacco). RNAcentral describes it as "long non-coding RNA (NTAB_LNC001779)". The record is from RNAcentral. Lineage: Eukaryota; Viridiplantae; Streptophyta; Magnoliopsida; Solanales; Solanaceae.
UGGGAUUCAAAUACUUCUGAAAACCUGGGUUUCCUAAAAGCUGUGGAGAUUUUGUUGAAGUUGAUUUGCUGAUUUAUGUCUCAAUACCGUUGAAGCUAUGUUGAACUCUGUUUGGUUUGGAAUUUCGCCUUUAUUGGGCCAAUCUGUUAGUGAUGUCACUGUUUAACUAGGUCAGUUCCCAAAUUCCUUGUAUUAUGUUUUGUUGAAAUGUUGACAACUGAUUGAAUUCCUUGCUUGUUGUUGUUCUGCUGAAGUUGUUUGUUUGAACUCGUUUUGAAUUUUUUUUUCACGUUUUUUAAGAAUAUAAAGGUGUUGUUGCGGUUCAUUCGGGUUAUACCUUGUGUUGGUUUGGUGUUUACUGAUGAAUGGUGUAUAAAUCACAUUUUGUUUGACCAUACAGAAUUCAUGUUUGUUCUUGAAUUGGUUAGAAUUUCCAAAUGUUGAAUGCUACGGUUGAGUAUAUUUCGGAUAAGCUUGGGCAUUUUUAUACUUCUUUUUGAGGAACUUUUCUUUUCUUUUCUAUUUGAAGUGAACAUGUUUGGAUUAGUAAUGUUAGUUUUCUUCUACUGAAUGUUAGGGAUUUAAAGGAUAAUAACGUUUUGAGCAAAGCCAAAAUGGGUUGCAUGACUAGAUCAAAGAAUCAAUUGCAGUUUUGGUCUUAUCCUUGGAUAUUGGUUUCUACAUAACUGAUUCAAGUCUUAUUACCUAAAAUAUCACCCUUUCUCCACAAAAAUUCCAUAAAUUUGGCCGCACAGUAAUUUCUUAGAUUAGAAAAAUAAUUCAAAUGUGCUAAUUACUUUAGGCAUGAUUAAUAAUAAAUCAUCGUGACUAUAGGUACGGUUUCCGUGGCAUGGUCACAAUACGUAAAUCCCAAUUCGAGUAUGUGUUUCACGCGACUUGACCAUAACAUCAAAUAAUAAUAAAAUUAAACAUGUUGUAAACCGCGGGUACAUUUCACGUGAUGCAAUUCGCAAUAUGUUCAAAACCAAUAAGUGUGCGAUAUCGCGACUUAUUUAAAUAAACUUCAUAAAUAAUUAAAAGCAGUUUAGAAGGUUAAAAAUGCAUAAUGGGUUUUAAAUAUGUAAUAAAUCAAAUAAUUAAGCCAAUUAUUAAUAGUUGAGCGACCGUGCUAAAACCACGGAACUUGAGAGUGCCUCACACCUUCUCCCGAGUUAACAAAAUUCCUUACUUGAUCUUCUAAUUUUGUAGACUUUAAAACAUAGUCAAAUUUCCUUGAUUUUGGGAUUUUAAAAUAAACGGUGACUUGGGACACCAUAAUAACUAUUCCAAGUGGCGACUCUGAAUUAAAUAAAUAAUCUCAUUUCGAUUAAUAUCACUUCAAUUGGAAAAACUCUUUAUUCCCUCGAAAAAAAGGAGGUGUGACAGUAUCUGGAACUGUAGGAACCACUCCCAGGCCCAAACCUAAUAUACAUUGUGGACAUAAAAUUUAAGGUAUAUUUUAACUAUAUAUGUUAUAAUCAUGAAAAGAAUUGACUAUGUUUUCACCUGCAGUAGCGGCAAAACUCCGGCAACGUCUCUCUGGGUGCCCAUGCACGCCCGGCACAUCUACCUAUACAGGUAACCUAAAACAGUU